This 424-nucleotide ribosomal RNA is filed under the name uncultured prokaryote. RNAcentral describes it as "bacterial SSU rRNA". It matches the Rfam family "Bacterial small subunit ribosomal RNA", at positions 355 to 796 of the family's 1533-position model. The record is from RNAcentral.
UGGGGAAUAUUGGACAAUGGGCGCAAGCCUGAUCCAGCCAUGCCGCGUGGGUGAAGAAGGCCCUAGGGUUGUAAACCCCUUUCAGCGGGGAAGAUAAUGACGGUACCCGCAGAAGAAGCCCCGGCUAACUCCGUGCCAGCAGCCGCGGUAAUACGGAGGGGGCUAGCGUUGUUCGGAAUUACUGGGCGUAAAGCGCGCGUAGGCGGACUUUCAAGUCAGGGGUGAAAUCCCGAGGCUCAACCUCGGAACUGCCUUUGAUACUGUAAGUCUUGAGUGCGGAAGAGGAGGGUGGAAUACCCAGUGUAGAGGUGAAAUUCGUAGAUAUUGGGUGGAACACCAGUGGCGAAAGCGGCUCUCUGGUCCGGUUCUGACGCUGAGGCGCGAAAGCGUGGGGAGCAAACAGGAUUAGAUACCCCUGUAGUCC